This 164-nucleotide ribosomal RNA is filed under the name Canna liliiflora. Its description in RNAcentral is "5.8S ribosomal RNA". It matches the Rfam family "5.8S ribosomal RNA". Rfam says of the family: 5.8S ribosomal RNA (5.8S rRNA) is a component of the large subunit of the eukaryotic ribosome. It is transcribed by RNA polymerase I as part of the 45S precursor that also contains 18S and 28S rRNA. Functionally, it is thought that 5.8S rRNA may be involved in ribosome translocation. Lineage: Eukaryota; Viridiplantae; Streptophyta; Magnoliopsida; Zingiberales; Cannaceae. The record is from RNAcentral.
CAAACGACUCUCGGCAACGGAUAUCUCGGCUCUCGCAUCGAUGAAGAACGUAGCGAAAUGCGAUACCUGGUGUGAAUUGCAGAAUCCCGCGAACCAUCGAGUCUUUGAACGCAAGUUGCGCCCGAGGCCUUCGGGUCGAGGGCACGCCUGCCUGGGCGUCAUGC